UCACUCUGGUAGCAGCCAUCGAAACUUGAGCAUGGCAAGGUGUCAGUUUGAGAUUAUGAUGGAUUGCAAAAUCAUAGUCUAUGAAAAUUUCUGAACUUCCGGUGUCCACAAGUGCCUCAGUCACAAUCAAGUUGAGAGUUAUCUCUAUGGUUGCUUUCGAUAGUGGAGUAUGAGAAACAGUUGCUAACAGUGAGGCCGCAGUGGUCCCCUUACUUUUCUUUUUGCAAACCUUAGCGAAAUGGCUUUUUAUUUGGCAAUUAUUGCAAAUCUCGUUUCUAGCUGGACAUUUAGAUUGAAGAUGAUAAGUGUAUCCUCAAUAGAAGCAGUUUUUCUUAGUGGCUGCAAGAGUCGACAAGGGGGAAUCCGUUGUCUCUGGUUGAAUAGGAGAGCUAGAGUUAAUACUUUCUUGGAUACUGCUAUUGGGAAUAAGCGGACCUAUAGCAUUGACAGUAGUGUCAAAAGACUUGUAAGUUUCAGAUUGAAGAUGCACU
This 491-nucleotide long non-coding RNA is filed under the name Androctonus crassicauda. The record is from RNAcentral. Lineage: Eukaryota; Metazoa; Arthropoda; Arachnida; Scorpiones; Buthidae.